RNAcentral lists this ribosomal RNA (460 nucleotides) under uncultured bacterium. RNAcentral's name for it is "partial 16S ribosomal RNA". It matches the Rfam family "Bacterial small subunit ribosomal RNA", at positions 338 to 795 of the family's 1533-position model. The record is from RNAcentral.
CCUACGGGAGGCAGCAGUGAGGAAUAUUGGUCAAUGGACGGAAGUCUGAACCAGCCAAGUCGCGUGCAGGAUGACUGCCCUAUGGGUUGUAAACUUCUUUUGUAUGAGAAUAAAGCUGACUAUGUGUAUUCAUUUGUAUGUACCGUAUGAAUAAGGAUCGGCUAACUCCGUGCCAGCAGCCGCGGUAAUACGGAGGAUCCAAGCGUUAUCCGGAUUUAUUGGGUUUAAAGGGUGCGUAGGCGGAAUGUUAAGUCAGGGGUGAAAUGUUCGGGCUUAACCGUGGAACUGCCUUUGAUACUGGUGAUCUUGAGUGUAGAAGAGGUAGGCGGAAUGCGUGGUGUAGCGGUGAAAUGCUUAGAGAUCAUGCAGAACACCGAUUGCGAAGGCAGCUUACCGGUCUCUAACUGACGUUGAGGCACGAAAGCGUGGGUAGCAAACAGGAUUAGAUACCCGAGUAGUC